AUGGAUAUUGUUGACCAUAAAAAAGAACCUAUCAACAAGAGCCCGAAGGUCAUGUCGUUGGAAGAGACUAAAACCUCAGCAAGUUCUAUACAGCCUACAGAUGCGCAGAUAGAAAUAGCCAAUUUACGUCAUACCAAACCAAGAAGAGCAAAUACAAAUAUUACACCACAAGAGAUGAGGUGCCUUAGGCAUGAUGAUGUGUUUUUGCAUGAUGAUGUAAUAAAUGCAUAUAUAUACUGUAUAAGUGCCCAGGAGCAUCUGCAAGAUAGAGUGGGUGGAAUGGUACAUAUUGCAAGCACGUUUGUGUCUUCCCUGCUAAAGAACGAUGAGGUAGACCGGGCAACACAUCGCCACAUUGUAAAACGAGUGAAUGCUUUUUUGGAGCAUGACAUGGUAUUCCUUCCAGUUAACAUCAGAAAAUGCCACUGGUAUCUAUCAGUAAUCAAUGCGAAGAAACGAGAGAUACAGGUACUGGACUCGCUUGGAGUUGGAAUGAGCCGAAGUGACCUCACUAAGAUGUUACAAGGACUUGACCAGCAUCUAAAAAUCGCAUGCAAUAUGCCAGAGUUUAAGAGAGGUGAUAGGUGGCAGGACCUCGAUAUUACGAAUUGGAAAGUCGUAGAACAGCUCCAAGAGCCAAUCCAAACAGACGGGAGGACAUGA
RNAcentral lists this ribosomal RNA (663 nucleotides) under Triticum aestivum (bread wheat). Its description in RNAcentral is "partial small subunit ribosomal RNA". Lineage: Eukaryota; Viridiplantae; Streptophyta; Magnoliopsida; Poales; Poaceae. The record is from RNAcentral.